This 497-nucleotide ribosomal RNA is filed under the name uncultured bacterium. RNAcentral describes it as "partial 16S ribosomal RNA". It matches the Rfam family "Bacterial small subunit ribosomal RNA", at positions 28 to 507 of the family's 1533-position model. The record is from RNAcentral.
GAUGAACGCUGGCGGCGUGCCUAAUACAUGCAAGUCGAGCGAACAGACGAGGCGCUUGCUCCUCUGACGUUUGCGGCAGACGUGUGAGUCACACGUGUAUCAUCUCCUUAUCAGACUGGGAUCACUUCGGGAAACCGGCGCAAAUACCGGAUAAGCUCUUGCUCCGCAUGGUUCAAUAGAGAAAGACGGCUUUUGUGUCUCGUCUCGAUGGUUCCGCGCCGCAUUAGCUAGUUGGUACGGUCAAGGCUUACCAAGGCAACCAUGCGUAACCGACCUGAUAGGGUGAUCGGCCACACGGGAGCGUAGACACGGACCAGACGACUACGGUAGGCAGCAGUAGGGAAUCUUCCGCAGUGGGCGAAAGCUUGGCGGAGCAGCGCCGCGUGAGUGAUGGAGGUCUUCGGAGCGUAAAACUCUGUUAUGAGUGAAGAACAAAUGUGUAAGUAACUAUGCACGGCUUGACGGUACCGAAUCAGAAAGCCACGGCUAACUACGUG